This 330-nucleotide ribosomal RNA is filed under the name uncultured Methylocystis sp. RNAcentral describes it as "bacterial SSU rRNA". It matches the Rfam family "Bacterial small subunit ribosomal RNA", at positions 568 to 898 of the family's 1533-position model. The record is from RNAcentral. Lineage: Bacteria; Pseudomonadati; Pseudomonadota; Alphaproteobacteria; Hyphomicrobiales; Methylocystaceae.
UAUGCAGGCGGACUUUUAAGUCGGGGGUGAAAUCCCGAGGCUCAACCUCGGAACUGCCUUCGAUACUGGAAGUCUUGAGUCCGGGAGAGGUGAGUGGAACUCCGAGUGUAGAGGUGAAAUUCGUAGAUAUUCGGAAGAACACCAGUGGCGAAGGCGGCUCACUGGCCCGGUACUGACGCUGAGAUACGAAAGCGUGGGGAGCAAACAGGAUUAGAUACCCUGGUAGUCCACGCCGUAAACGAUGGGUGCUAGCCGUCGGGGAGCUUGCUCUUCGGUGGCGCAGCUAACGCUUUAAGCACCCCGCCUGGGGAGUACGAUCGCAAGAUUAAA